This is a long non-coding RNA of Lates calcarifer (barramundi perch), 1067 nucleotides long. RefSeq lists it as uncharacterized. The record is from RefSeq and is a predicted model, not a curated record. The transcript has 4 exons. Lineage: Eukaryota; Metazoa; Chordata; Actinopteri; Centropomidae.
UUGAUUCGAGUCUCUAAAGUUAGCCGUUAAGUUACCAUGGUGAUUUACCACCGUCGUAACGCUGAUAACUCGGAGUUAAACCUGAAGUUACCUCGCUAACCGCAAAUCCUGACCGUAGUACAGACCUCAGGUUGUACAGAUUCCAAUAUGAUCCAGCAUCUGUGGGAUGAUCCGGGACAAACCUGAUCCACGGAGGCUCAACAGGACCCAAGGGACCUGCUGCUAAUGUCCACACCCCCAGAGGUCUUGUGUCCAUUCCCCAGCAGGGCAGCGUGAAACGGAGGGGGAUCGAGAACCAGAGAGAACCAGAGUUUCUGAUGAGUCCUGGGAUCAGUCAAGAGGCUGAGGUAACUGCAGAGACGAUCAUCAAAGUCAGCAGGAUUCAUUGUCUUGGGACCUGAAAUGUUUGUACAAAAUUUCAUGGCAACCCGCCCAAUAAGUAAGAUGGUGAAAGAGGGAGGGAAAGAGAGACAGCACAAGGGGCAGAAAUGACAAAAGAGGAGUACAGAGUCAUCUGCCUGGGGCAAGACUAUCAGUCAGCUCUUCAGAAGUUUAACUCCAUGCAGCACAGCGACUCUGAGAGCAGGUUUCUUAGAUAUCCUCUCUCAUAUGUUCACUCACCAAUCCUAUGGUGCAUAUUAAAUCACCGGGUGAAUAAUGAAGCCUAUCUCACAUAAAUUAGAGAGACAUGCUGAAUUCCCCUCAGGUUCAAUCACCAUGAAUAUUAAAGCAAACUCACAAGGUUACAGAGAAAAUUGGAGACAGGCCGAACAAGCAGAGGAUAGAUGAAGAAAUAUGAAGAAUGAAGGACAAAGAGAGAGAGAGAAAGAGAGAGAGCAGAUAAAGAGGAGAGCUCCUGGCAAGAGGGGAAAGCAGUCGUUAUAAAUUUGUAUCAGCGAUGGCUAUGUAAUCAUUUUGCUCACAUCUGAAAACGGGGUUAGGAAGCAGGGUAAUUAAAUCGCCAGUGCUCCAUGGCUAUGUCACUGUUGAAUGUGCAAGGUUAUUUUUUUUAAAGCUGUGUAUCCUGAAGUAUGAAAACUGAAAUAAACUAAUAUAUAAAUAAAAAA